GACGAACGCUGGCGGCGUGCUUAACACAUGCAAGUCGAACGGAAAGGCCCUGCUUUUGUGGGGUGCUCGAGUGGCGAACGGGUGAGUAACACGUGAGUAACCUGCCCUUGACUUUGGGAUAACUUCAGGAAACUGGGGCUAAUACCGGAUAGGAGCUCCUGCUGCAUGGUGGGGGUUGGAAAGUUUCGGCGGUUGGGGAUGGACUCGCGGCUUAUCAGCUUGUUGGUGGGGUAGUGGCUUACCAAGGCUUUGACGGGUAGCCGGCCUGAGAGGGUGACCGGCCACAUUGGGACUGAGAUACGGCCCAGACUCCUACGGGAGGAAGCAGUGGGGAAUAUUGAACAAUGGGCGGAAGCCUGAUGCAGCAACGCCGCGUGCGGGAUGACGGCCUUCGGGUUGUAAACAGCUUUCGCCUGUGACGAAGCGUGAGUGAAGGUAAUGGGUAAAGAAGCACCGGCUAACUACGUG
RNAcentral lists this ribosomal RNA (468 nucleotides) under uncultured bacterium. RNAcentral's name for it is "partial 16S ribosomal RNA". It matches the Rfam family "Bacterial small subunit ribosomal RNA", at positions 28 to 507 of the family's 1533-position model. The record is from RNAcentral.